This 465-nucleotide ribosomal RNA is filed under the name uncultured bacterium. Its description in RNAcentral is "partial 16S ribosomal RNA". It matches the Rfam family "Bacterial small subunit ribosomal RNA", at positions 338 to 795 of the family's 1533-position model. The record is from RNAcentral.
CCUACGUGAGGCAGCAGUGGGGAAUAUUGCGCAAUGGGCGAAAGCCUGACGCAGCGACGCCGCGUGAGGGAUGAAGGUCUUCGGAUCGUAAACCUCUGUCAGCAGGGAAGAACGGUCACUGUGCUAAUCAGCAGUGAAUUGACGGUACCUGCAAAGGAAGCACCGGCUAACUCCGUGCCAGCAGCCGCGGUAAUACGGAGGGUGCGAGCGUUAAUCGGAAUUACUGGGCGUAAAGCGCUCGUAGGCGGUAUGUCAAGUCAAGGGUGAAAUCCCCGCGCUCAACGUGGGAACUGCCUUUGAAACUGGCAAACUGGAGUGUGUGAGAGGAUAGUGGAAUGCCAGGUGUAGGAGUGAAAUCCGUAGAGAUCUGGAGGAACAUCAGUGGCGAAGGCGACUAUCUGGCACAUAACUGACGCUGAGGAGCGAAAGCGUGGGGAGCAAACAGGAUUAGAUACCCGAGUAGUC